Long non-coding RNA from Hydra vulgaris (swiftwater hydra), 568 nucleotides. RefSeq lists it as uncharacterized. Lineage: Eukaryota; Metazoa; Cnidaria; Hydrozoa; Anthoathecata; Hydridae. The record is from RefSeq and is a predicted model, not a curated record.
AUAUUGACUCAGUUAAAAAAAUAUGAGUUGCUGGUCUCUCGUUGUAAAAGUCUUGCUUCAAGAACUUUUUUCAUGCAUUUUAGCUAAUUUAGUUAAAUUUGCUAAAGAAAAUUGGUGGAACAGAGCUGGUAAAAACCACUGCAUAUGUUAUGUCGCAACGUUACUAAUUUUUUAAUGUCAAAAAUAAAUAUGGAUGGUACUGGAAAUUUCGGAAACUUCCAUUCAGAAUAUCCUCUAUAUGUAAAGUUGUUCAGUGUAAUUCCACUUUUGAUUUAUGAAAAAACAUUUAAAAUGCUAUUUUACCUUUUUUUUGCGGUUACAAAUCAGGUUACGAAAUUAGACGAUCAGGAUACGAAUGUAGAAGAUGAAAAAGCGGUAGACGGUUUUUUUGGAAGAUUUUUGAUAAUGCAUAAACCAGAGAAAACAGUGAUCCAAUUUAUUUGUUUAUGAGUUUAUUAAUUUUAUUAAUAAUCUUUGACUUAAUCUUAAUGUAAACUUUUAUUUUCUGCUAAUGUAGUUAUAAAAAUAUUUAAUAGAAAUAGUUACUAUAAAAUUUCCACUGCAAAAA